AUCUUAGCGGCGGACGGGUGAGUAAUGCUUAGGAAUCUGCCAUUUAGUGGGGGACAACAUUCCGAAAGGAAUGCUAAUACCGCAUACGUCCUACGGGAGAAAGCAGGGGAUCUUCGGACCUUGCGCUAAAUGAUGAGCCUAAGUCGGAUUAGCUAGUUGGUGGGGUAAAGGCCUACCAAGGCGACGAUCUGUAGCGGGUCUGAGAGGAUGAUCCGCCACACUGGGACUGAGACACGGCCCAGACUCCUACGGGAGGCAGCAGUGGGGAAUAUUGGACAAUGGGCGGAAGCCUGAUCCAGCCAUGCCGCGUGUGUGAAGAAGGCCUUUUGGUUGUAAAGCACUUUAAGCGAGGAGGAGGCUACUCUGAUUAAUACUCAGGGAUAGUGGACGUUACUCGCAGAAUAAGCACCGGCUAACUCUGUGCCAGCAGCCGCGGUAAUACAGAGGGUGCGAGCGUUAAUCGGAUUUACUGGGCGUAAAGCGUGCGUAGGCGGCUUUUUAAGUCGGAUGUGAAAUCCCCGAGCUUAACUUGGGAAUUGCAUUCGAUACUGGGAAGCUAGAGUAUGGGAGAGGAUGGUAGAAUUCCAGGUGUAGCGGUGAAAUGCGUAGAGAUCUGGAGGAAUACCGAUGGCGAAGGCAGCCAUCUGGCCUAAUACUGACGCUGAGGUACGAAAGCAUGGGGAGCAAACAGGAUUAGAUACCCUGGUAGUCCAUGCCGUAAACGAUGUCUACUAGCCGUUGGGGCCUUUGAGGCUUUAGUGGCGCAGCUAACGCGAUAAGUAGACCGCCUGGGGAGUACGGUCGCAAGACUAAAACUCAAAUGAAUUGACG
Molecule: ribosomal RNA, 831 nt
Filed under: Acinetobacter gyllenbergii
Lineage: Bacteria; Pseudomonadati; Pseudomonadota; Gammaproteobacteria; Moraxellales; Moraxellaceae
Description: bacterial SSU rRNA
Rfam family: Bacterial small subunit ribosomal RNA
Source: RNAcentral